RNAcentral lists this ribosomal RNA (497 nucleotides) under uncultured bacterium. Its description in RNAcentral is "partial 16S ribosomal RNA". It matches the Rfam family "Bacterial small subunit ribosomal RNA", at positions 28 to 507 of the family's 1533-position model. The record is from RNAcentral.
GAUGAACGCUGGCGGCGUGCCUAAUACAUGCAAGUCGAGCGAACAGAUAAGGAGCUUGCUCCUUUGACGUUAGCGGCGGACGGGUGAGUAACACGUGGAUAACCUACCUAUAAGACUGGGAUAACUUCGGGAAACCGGAGCUAAUACCGGAUAACAUAUUGAACCGCAUGGUGCAAUAGUGAAAGGCGGCUUUGCUGUCACUUAUAGAUGGAUCCGCGCCGUAUUAGCUAGUUGGUAAGGUAACGGCUUACCAAGGCAACGAUACGUAGCCGACCUGAGAGGGUGAUCGGCCACACUGGAACUGAGACACGGUCCAGACUCCUACGGGAGGCAGCAGUAGGGAAUCUUCCGCAAUGGGCGAAAGCCUGACGGAGCAACGCCGCGUGAGUGAUGAAGGUCUUCGGAUCGUAAAACUCUGUUAUCAGGGAAGAACAAAUGCGUAAGUAACUGUGCACAUCUUGACGGUACCUGAUCAGAAAGCCACGGCUAACUACGUG